GACAGAGGGUGCAAACGUUGUUCGGAAUUACUGGGCGUAAAGCGCGUGUAGGCGGCCCCGCAAGUCGGAUGUGAAAGCCCUCGGCUCAACCGGGGAAGUGCAUUCGAAACUGCAGGGCUAGAGUCCCGGAGAGGAUAGUGGAAUUCUCGGUGUAGAGGUGAAAUGCGUAGAUAUCGAGAGGAACACCGGUGGCGAAGGCGGCUAUCUGGACGGUGACUGACGCUGAGACGCGAAAGCGUGGGGAGCAAACAGG
This 253-nucleotide ribosomal RNA is filed under the name uncultured bacterium. RNAcentral describes it as "partial 16S ribosomal RNA". It matches the Rfam family "Bacterial small subunit ribosomal RNA", at positions 524 to 776 of the family's 1533-position model. The record is from RNAcentral.